RNAcentral lists this ribosomal RNA (494 nucleotides) under uncultured bacterium. Its description in RNAcentral is "partial 16S ribosomal RNA". It matches the Rfam family "Bacterial small subunit ribosomal RNA", at positions 28 to 507 of the family's 1533-position model. The record is from RNAcentral.
GACGAACGCUGGCGGCGUGCUUAACACAUGCAAGUCGAACGGUGAAGCGCCUUCCUUUUUGGUGGGUGUGGAUGAGUGGCGAACGGGUGAGUAACACGUGAGUAACCUGCCCCCUUCUUCUGGAUAACCGCAUGAAAGUGUGGCUAAUACGGGAUAUUCUGGGUCUGUCGCAUGAUGGGUCUGGGAAAGAUAUUGUUUCGGUGGGGGAUGGGCUCGCGGCCUAUCAGCUUGUUGGUGGGGUGAUGGCCUACCAAGGCGGUGACGGGUAGCCGGCCUGAGAGGGUGGUCGGUCACACUGGGACUGAGACACGGCCCAGACUCCUACGGGAGGCAGCAGUGGGGAAUAUUGCACAAUGGGCGCAAGCCUGAUGCAGCGACGCCGCGUGAGGGAUGGAGGCCUUCGGGUUGUGAACCUCUUUCGCCAGUGAAGCAGGCCUGCCUCGUUUGUGGGUGGGUUGACGGUAGCUGGAUAAGAAGCGCCGGCUAACUACGUG